GUAAAAUGUAUACAUACAUACAAAUGUAUGACAUUGGUAUUUUUCCGUAUUCACUUACUAUUUUAUCUUAUUUUUUUUUAAAUAGUGUUAUUAGUAUACGUUAAAACAAUGUUAGAAGGGUAUGUAAAUUUUUUGAAUAAAGAGGGUAAUCAUAAGAGUAGCAACUGUAUUAGUAACAACUGUAGUGGUAACAGUAACACUGGUAAAAACAAAGAUGAUAAGAGUGAUAAGAAUGGUGGAAGCAAGAACAAUGUAACAAACUUAAACACAUAUAAAAAAAUAUGUGAUUUUAUUUUAAUAGAUAAGAAUAUAAAUAAAAAACAAAGCGAUACCUAUCAUGCAAAAUUAAUAAAAUUUUCAAAAAAUGAAAAAGAACAGGGUACUCGUAACAUUUGUGAUGCUAUAUUUUUUGGGAAUAACAACAACAACAACAAUAAUAACAAUAACAAUAACAACCCUAAUGCAUACAUGCAAACAGGUACACAUACAGACACACGUACGAAUGUGUUUAAUGACAUACAUAUUAUUAAAAAGUAUUAUACUUAUGAACCCUCGGACGAAAGCAACUAUUUCGAUAAUAAAGAAAAAAUAAAAAAAUAUGUAUUAGAAAAGAAUUAUAAAAGUAACAUAAAAUUAAAAGACAUGUUAUACGUAUAUAAUGNNNNNNNNNNNNNNNNNNNNNNNNNNNNNNNNNNNNNNNNNNNNNNNNNNNNNNNNNNNNNNNNNNNNNNNNNNNNNNNNNNNNNNNNNNNNNNNNNNNNAUGAAAAUAAUAUCCAUGAAAAUAAUAUCCAUGAAAAUAAUAUCCAUGAAAAUAAUAUCCAUGAAAAUAAUAUCCAUGAAAAUAAUAUCCAUGAAAAUAAUAUCCAUGAAAAUAAUAUCCAUGAAAAAAAUAUCCAUGAAAAAAAUAUCCAUGAAAAAAAUAUCCAUGAAAAAAAUAUCCAUGAAAAAAAUAUCCAUGGAAAUAAUAUCCAUGAAAAUUAUGGAAGUAACAAUAAUAAUGAUAAUGUUAUAGUAAAUAUAAAAAAGGAACUACGGAAAACAUCUUUAUGUAAGUAUUGGUUGAAAGGUGUGUGCGCAAAUAUAGAAUGUAAUUUUGCACAUGGUAAUGACGAGUUAAAAUAUACAGUUGGAGUUUAUAAAACAACUAUAUGUAAACAUUGGAAACAAAAUGGAACAUGUUCAAGUGGGAUCAAUUGUAGACAUGCACAUGGUGAAAAUGAAUUACGACCUAAUUUUUUCCCUCUACAUUUAUUAAAAAAAAAAAACAAGUUACAAAAUAAAACUAAUAAUAUAAUUAAAAAACCUAUGUAUCCUUUUAAUAAUAGUAUUGAUAAUUGCCACACUAAUAAUUAUAUGUACAAUAAUAAUAAACAAGGUAAUAUGAAUACAGGUAGUGGUGGUAAUGGUAGUGGUGGUAAUGGUAGUGGUGGUAACCCUACUAAUAUUAGUCAUAAUAUGAAUACAAUAAAUGAUAAAACAAAAUUUCGAAACUAUUUUCAUGGUUUAAAAAAUGAAGUUAUUCGUUUAUGGAAUGAUAAUAAACAAAAAGAAGAUACAAAUAGUGUAAUAAAUAAUUUUAAUUUUAAUACGUCAUGUGAUACAAAAGAAGUUAGUUGCGUUAAUUGCAAUAAUAGUACUAACUACAAUGGUAAUAUUAAUAAUAAGAUGUAUACUAACGUUUAUAGAUAUAUAAAUGAAAAUAGUUGUAGUAAUAAUAGUAAUAAUAAAAAAGAAAAUACUACAUACUUAGACUCUAACAGAAAUGAAGAACUUGUAAUUUUUAAUAAAUUUUAUAAAAAAAUAAAAGAAAAUAAUAAUAGUAAUAAUAACAAUAAUAACAACAAUGAAAGUACCAGUAGCAGUACCAUUACUAGUCGUAGUAGUUUUAGAGGAUGUACUGACUAUACCACAUGUAAAAAAUUUAACAAUUACAUUGAACAUGAUGGAAAUUCUAAUAAUACACUAUACUCUCAACCAUUUGUUAACAGUAAUAUUAAAAAUAUAUUGGAAUGUUUAAGGCAAAAACAAUAUAGUUUUAAUGAUAAAAAAGAAGUAAAUUAUAACCAGUUUAACAUAUUUCAAAAUGAUGAUAAUAAUAAAAACGACUGGAUUAUAGACAAUUUAAAUUUGAAUUAUAACUACAACUGUAAUGAUAAUAGCCAUAGUGGCAACAUGGGUAAUGAUAAUGUGAAUAAUGAUAAUGUGAAUAAUGAAAAUAUAAACAGUGGUAAUAUAAACAGUGGUAAUAUAAACAGUGGUAAUAUAAACAGUGGUAAUAUAAACAGUGGCAAUAUAAACAGUGGUAAUAUAAACAGUGGCAGUAUAAACAGUGGCAAUGUGAACAAUGACAAUGUGAACAGUGGCAAUGUGAACAAUGACAAUGUGAACAGUGACAAUGUGAACAAUGGUAAUAUGUACUGGAAACACAUUUUAAUGCAAAAAAACAAAAAUUAUAAUGAAAAAAAUAAUACUAUAUAUAUAAUAAAUGAAAAUUCAUUGUUAUGUAAAAAUUGUAGCAAUGGUUAUAUUUGUAACAACUGUAGUGUCAAAAAGAAGCAAAUAGUGAAACCAUAUGAAGAAUUAGGAAAAAAUAACAAUAUAAAAAAUAAACAAUUAGGGGUAUCUACAAGAGGAUAUAAAAACAAAAACAUUUUCAGUCAUGAUUAUAACAAUAUAAGAACAGACAUGAUUUGCACAACUAAUAACCCUAGUGCUAUAACAACAAAUAUGAGCAACGUAAGUAGUAUGUCAAGUAACACUAAUGAUAAUGUAAUGUUAUGUAUAAAUGAGUACGGUUGUAUGUAUAGUAAAGAUAUGCACAAUAAUAACAAAAAUGGGUAUAAUGAUAACAGAAACGGAUACAAUGAUAACAGAAACGUGUGUAAUGAUAAAAAAAAUAUAUGUAUUGAUAAAAAAAACAUAUGUAGUAAUAAAAAAAAUAUGAACAGUCAGCAUUUUGUUCAUACAAAUGAUAAGAAAAAUGCUAAUUCUUACUCAAAUUUUAAUACAUCCUCUAUGUUUUAUGACAAUUAUGACAACCUUAGUAAUAAAAAUGAGCUUCCAAAUAUUAUUUUAAAAAAUGAGAAACAUGAAACUAACAACAGUGAUAAUUGUGUUAAUUCUAAUGACAUGAUACAUAAUAAAAUACAAAUUAUGCAACAAAUUAAGCAGUUUUUAAAUAAUAAUAAAAAUAUAAAUUAUGUAUCAAAUUAUGUAAUGGACCAGUAUAAUUAUGAUUAUUGUAGUAGCAGUAACAGUUAUGCUUCUACUACUGGUCGUAAUAACAGUAACGACUAUGCUACUACAACUUGUUAUAAUAAAACUAAUUGUAACGAUAAAUUAUUUUAUUGGAAUAAAAACAACAAAAUAAAUAUGGCCAGUAGUACCAUUAGUGGUCUUACCAGUGACGAAGAUAACUAUUAUAAUGAUAAUAAUGAUAAUACUGAUAAUAAUGAUAAUAAUGAUAAUAAUGAUAAUAAUUAUGAUUAUAAGAACAUAAGUUAGUUGUAUAUGUCAAGAUAUACUUCUUAUCGCUAUCGCUACACAUUUAACGCGUUUGAUAUUAUUACAUACCACAUCAGAAUAAGAUAAAAAGAGAAAAAAAAAUAACUCAAAACAUGAUCACUUAACAUUUAUAUUAUAACAAAAUUUUUUUUUUUUUUUUUUUUUUUUCUUUUUUAUACAAAUUUAACAUUUGUAUGUUUUUUUUAAAAAAAAAAAAAAAAAACAUUCAUUUAUCUGAUCUGACCAUCUGCUUAUUAUAAUCAUAAUCAAUAAAAAAUUAUUAACUUUUUUUAUUAUUUAUUAA
This is a long non-coding RNA of Piliocolobus tephrosceles (Ugandan red Colobus), 3809 nucleotides long. NCBI's taxonomy places the organism in Eukaryota, Metazoa, Chordata, Mammalia, Primates, Cercopithecidae. The record is from Ensembl.